AACGAACGCUGGCGGCAGGCUUAACACAUGCAAGUCGAGCGCCCCGCAAGGGGAGCGGCCGACGGGUGAGUAACGCGUGGGAACGUACCCUUAUCUUCGGGACAGCCCCGGGAAACUGGAAUUAAUACCGAAUGUGCCCUUUGGGGGAAAGAUUUAUCGGAUAAGGAUCGGCCCGCGUUGGAUUAGCUAGUUGGUGGGGUAAAGGCCUACCAAGGCGACGAUCCAUAGCUGGUCUGAGAGGAUGAUCAGCCACAUUGGGACUGAGACACGGCCCAAACUCCUACGGGAGGCAGCAGUGGGGAAUAUUGGACAAUGGGCGCAAGCCUGAUCCAGCCAUGCCGCGUGAGUGAUGAAGGCCUUGGGGUUGUAAAGCUCUUUCACCGGAGAAGAUAAUGACGGUAUCCGGAGAAGAAGCCCCGGCUAACUUCGUG
RNAcentral lists this ribosomal RNA (431 nucleotides) under uncultured bacterium. RNAcentral describes it as "partial 16S ribosomal RNA". It matches the Rfam family "Bacterial small subunit ribosomal RNA", at positions 29 to 507 of the family's 1533-position model. The record is from RNAcentral.